UUCUGUGGCCACACCACCCUGAACGCACCCAGUCUUGUCUGAUCUCGGAAGCUAAGCAAGGUCACAGCUGGUUGGUACUUGAAUGGGAGACUGCCCGGGGUUACUGGGUGCUACAGGCU
This 119-nucleotide ribosomal RNA is filed under the name Capra hircus (goat). Lineage: Eukaryota; Metazoa; Chordata; Mammalia; Artiodactyla; Bovidae. The record is from RNAcentral.